RNAcentral lists this ribosomal RNA (401 nucleotides) under Blastocystis sp. A4. RNAcentral's name for it is "SSU rRNA". It matches the Rfam family "Eukaryotic small subunit ribosomal RNA", at positions 498 to 909 of the family's 1831-position model. Lineage: Eukaryota; Bigyra; Opalinata; Blastocystidae. The record is from RNAcentral.
CAGUCUUGCAAUUGGAUUGAGAACAAUGUACAACUCUUAUCGAUAAGCCAUUGGAGGGCAAGUCUGGUGCCAGCAGCCGCGGUAAUUCCAGCUCCAAUAGCGUAUAUUAACGUUGUUGCAGUUAAAAAGCUCGUAGUUGAAGUGUGGGUGAUCGCUGUUGUGAGACUUCGGUCUCUCGACAGUAAGUCACCCCCUUCCAGUAUCCAGUAGUGGGUAUUCAGUUACUUACUACUGUGUGUUGGUCCUUUACUGUGAGAAAAUUAGAGUGUUCAAAGCAGGCGUUUGCUUGAAUAGAUUAGCAUGGAAUAAUAAUUGAAGGCUUUCGUGUUCGAUUUGAUUGGUUUGUUCAUGGAAGCAAGGUUAAAAGGAACAGUUGGGGGUAUUCAUAUUCACUAGUUAGA